Molecule: ribosomal RNA, 690 nt
Filed under: uncultured beta proteobacterium
Lineage: Bacteria; Pseudomonadati; Pseudomonadota; Betaproteobacteria
Description: bacterial SSU rRNA
Rfam family: Bacterial small subunit ribosomal RNA
Source: RNAcentral
GACAAUGGGGGCAACCCUGAUCCAGCAUGCCGCGUGAGUGAAGAAGGCCCUCGGGUUGUAAAGCUCUUUGUCAGGGAAGAAACGGAGUUCUCUAAUAUAGGAUUCUAAUGACGGUACCUGAAGAAUAAGCACCGGCUAACUACGUGCCAGCAGCCGCGGUAAUACGUAGGGUGCAAGCGUUAAUCGGAAUUACUGGGCGUAAAGCGUGCGCAGGCGGUUUGGUAAGACAGAUGUGAAAUCCCCGGGCUCAACCUGGGAAUUGCAUUUGUGACUGCCCGACUAGAGUGUGUCAGAGGGGGGUAGAAUUCCACGUGUAGCAGUGAAAUGCGUAGAGAUGUGGAGGAAUACCGAUGGCGAAGGCAGCCCCCUGGGAUAACACUGACGCUCAUGCACGAAAGCGUGGGGAGCAAACAGGAUUAGAUACCCUGGUAGUCCACGCCCUAAACGAUGUCUACUAGUUGUUGGGUCUUAAUUGACUUAGUAACGCAGCUAACNUGUGAAGUAGACCGCCUGGGGAGUACGGUCGCAAGAUUAAAACUCAAAGGAAUUGACGGGGACCCGCACAAGCGGUGGAUGAUGUGGAUUAAUUCGAUGCAACGCGAAAAACCUUACCUACCCUUGACAUGUACGGAAUCCCUGAGAGAUUAGGGAGUGCUCGAAAGAGAACCGUAACACAGGUGCUGCAUGGCU